CUCAGAGCUACACACAGCUUUUUUUGUUGAAAAAACAGUUUGGAUAAGGAAAGACAGAGACUCCAUUUGAAGAUUAUUGCAACAGUCUAUCAGUGGAGUGAAAUUUGGAAUGGAAAAGCCCAAUGAAAUAUACUGAUUAAUAUUUAUGUAUUUAUCUGUGAAAACCCCUUUUACUUUCGGUAAAUUCUGAAGAGGCAUUGAAACAAUUUUUAAUAGUACAAAUACGUGGCAUUA
RNAcentral lists this long non-coding RNA (234 nucleotides) under Homo sapiens (human). RNAcentral describes it as "HSALNT0121682". Lineage: Eukaryota; Metazoa; Chordata; Mammalia; Primates; Hominidae. The record is from RNAcentral.